GAUGAAGAACGUAGCGAAAUGCGAUAAGUAAUGUGAAUUGCAGAAUCCAGUGAAUCAUCGAAUCUUUGAACGCACAUUGCGCCCGCCAGCAUUCUGGCGGGCAUGCCUGUUCGAGCGUCAUUUCAACCCUCGACCUCCCUUUGGGGAAGUCGGCGUUGGGGACCGGCAGCACACCGCCGGCCCUGAAAUGGAGUGGCGGCCCGUCCGCGGCGACCUCUGCGUAGUAAUCCAACUCGCACCGGAACCCCGACGCGGCCACGCAGUAAAACACCCAACUUCUGAACGUUGACCUCGAAUCAGGUAGGACUACCCGCUGAACUUAAGCAUAUCAAUAAGCGGAGGA
This 343-nucleotide unclassified non-coding RNA is filed under the name soil metagenome. Its description in RNAcentral is "partial contains 5.8S ribosomal RNA, internal transcribed spacer 2, and large subunit ribosomal RNA". The stretch from base 1 to 120 matches the Rfam family "5.8S ribosomal RNA", at positions 35 to 154 of the family's 154-position model. The record is from RNAcentral.